This 635-nucleotide long non-coding RNA is filed under the name Nicotiana tabacum (common tobacco). RNAcentral's name for it is "long non-coding RNA (NTAB_LNC001701)". Lineage: Eukaryota; Viridiplantae; Streptophyta; Magnoliopsida; Solanales; Solanaceae. The record is from RNAcentral.
UCCCCUGUUUCUCCUUUGACUAGAUUUUUUUACGCUGCUAUAAGUCAAGUGGAGAUCCUCUAUUUUCACGAAUCCAGCUCUCGAAAAGUUGCUUUACUAUGAGUAAGGGGUGCUAACGAGCAAGAAAACGGAUGCGCUAAGGCGCAACUUCGCGCAGCUGCUACGCCCUUGCUUCUUGUCUUAUCUUUUACUAAGAAACUAAUCUAAAUAGAAAUCUUUCUUUCUCAAAGUAAAGUUUCUCCCAGUAAAAUAAGACAAGAAGCACGAUGCAGAAAGUAGUUGCUUCUUAGUUUACUACAAAAGUGAAUCCUAGGAACAAACUUUGAGGAAGAUACAGUUAUAGUAAGAAGCUAUAGCCUAUAGCUACUAGCCAAUUAUUACAUGUUUCAGUAAAAGGGGUGCUUUCUUUUCUCUCUUUGUAUACAGUUGUACACUUUGCAGGUAAGGAACUUAGAACACAAGUGAAGACAGUGAACAGUGAACUGAAACUGCUGCUACACAGCUACAUGUACCAAAUUUACCAAACUGUCCUUGUCAAGAUUGAGGACAUUUCUCCUAUAUUGAAAAUGGGAUUCAUGAAUCAUGAGAAACUGUACCAGUUUUUGCUACAGUGGCUUACAUUGAUGGGUCACCGG